GAAUAUUGGACAAUGGGGGGAACCCUGAUCCAGCCAUGCCGCGUGUGUGAAGAAGGCCUUUUGGUUGUAAAGCACUUUAAGCGAGGAGGAGGAGCUCUUGGUUAAUACCCAAGAUGCUUGGACGUUACUCGCAGAAUAAGCACCGGCUAACCCUGUGCCAGCAGCAGCGGUAAUACAGAGGGUGCAAGCGUUAAUCGGAUUUACUGGGCGUAAAUCCCGCGUAGGUGGCCAAUUAAGUCAAAUGUGAAAUCCCCUAGCUUAACUUUGGAAUUGCAUUCGAUACUGGUUGGCUAGAGUAUUGGAGAUGAUGGUAAUAUUCCAGGUUUAGCGGUGAAAUUCGUAGAGAUCUGGAAGAAUACCGAUGGCGAAGGCAGCCAUCUUGCCUAAUACUGACACCUAGGUGCGAAAGCAUGGGGAGCAAACA
This 424-nucleotide ribosomal RNA is filed under the name uncultured bacterium. Its description in RNAcentral is "partial 16S ribosomal RNA". It matches the Rfam family "Bacterial small subunit ribosomal RNA", at positions 359 to 774 of the family's 1533-position model. The record is from RNAcentral.